AACCCAUGGUAAAGGCACAUUCUCAAUAAAUCCUUGUACCUUUCACAUGCAUCAUAAGAGUCUCUAAAUUAAUCUGAACAAAGGAAGAGAUAUCAUUUCUCAACUU
This 106-nucleotide small nucleolar RNA is filed under the name Gossypium hirsutum (cotton). Its description in RNAcentral is "Plant small nucleolar RNA R71". It matches the Rfam family "Plant small nucleolar RNA R71". Rfam says of the family: R71 is a member of the C/D box family of snoRNAs containing the C (UGAUGA) and D (CUGA) box motifs. Multiple nearly identical copies of this snoRNA have been identified in Arabidopsis, and it is thought to function as a 2'-O-ribose methylation guide for 18S ribosomal RNA. The record is from Rfam by way of RNAcentral. Lineage: Eukaryota; Viridiplantae; Streptophyta; Magnoliopsida; Malvales; Malvaceae.